AGUGCGUUGUCGUUGAGUUGUUCUGAAAUCGCUGCGUUAGGGGCGACUGCAACCAAGCGUUGCGGCAAGUUACGGUGGGAGCUUCUGUCCGUGCUGUGUGAUUGCGACGAGGGGACCGCCGCCAGCAGCAGCGUAUCGCCAAUUUCGUCUUUCGGUUUGCACUGCAUCUUUCAUUGUGAUAUGGGAGAUCGCAACGGACAGAGACGACCAGAUGCAUACGAACCACUACCAGCGGGGACCUGUGACCUGUGCCAUAUUUCUCUUAACGUCUCAGGUAUUCAAGAAAUGCCAACAUCCAGAAGACGCCAUCUUAUCCAGCACGUUAUGGGUACACUCUGGUGGCUCCCGCCUUUGCAUCCUACCACCACUGUGUCCUGACUACGUCCACUAGAGAGUUCGAAGCCUUUGGCGGCUCCUGCCACUGCGUCCUGCCACCACCGUGUCCUGACUACGUCCACUAGGGA
Molecule: long non-coding RNA, 464 nt
Organism: Dermacentor albipictus
Lineage: Eukaryota; Metazoa; Arthropoda; Arachnida; Ixodida; Ixodidae
Source: RefSeq, a predicted model, not a curated record